This 490-nucleotide ribosomal RNA is filed under the name uncultured bacterium. Its description in RNAcentral is "partial 16S ribosomal RNA". It matches the Rfam family "Bacterial small subunit ribosomal RNA", at positions 30 to 507 of the family's 1533-position model. The record is from RNAcentral.
AUUGAACGCUGGCGGCAGGCCUAACACAUGCAAGUCGAACGGUAACAGCAAACAGCUUGCUGUUUCGCUGACGAGUGGCGGACGGGUGAGUCAUGUCUGGGAAACUGCCUGAUGGAGUGGCAUCACUACUGGAAACGGUAGCUCAUACCGCAUAACGUCGCCAGACCAAAGAGGGGGACCUUCGUGCCUCUUGCCAUCGGAUGUGCCCAGAUGGGAUUAGCUAGUAGGUGGGGUAACGGCUCACCUAGGCGGCGAUCCCUAGCUGGUCUGAGAGAAUGACCACCCACAUGGGAACUGAGACAGAGCACAGACGCCUACGGGAGGAAGCAGUGGGGAAUAUUACGCAAUGGGGGCGAGCCUGAUGCAGCAAUGCCGCGUGUAUGAAGAAGGCGUUCGGGUUGUAAAGUACUUUCAGCGGGGAUGAAGGGAGUAAAGUUAAUACCUGUGCACAUUGACGGUACCGGCAGAAGAAGCACCGGCUAACUCCGUG